UCCCAGACUCCUACGGGAGGCAGCAGUGGGGAAUAUUGCACAAUGGGGGAAACCCUGAUGCAGCGACGCCGCGUGAGCGAUGAAGUCUUUCGGUAUGUAAAGCUCUAUCAGCAGGGAAGAAAAUGACGGUACCUGACUAAGAAGCCCCGGCUAACUACGUGCCAGCAGCCGCGGUAAUACGUAGGGGGCAAGCGUUAUCCGGAUUUACUGGGUGUAAAGGGAGCGUAGACGGCGAUGCAAGCCAGAUGUGAAAGCCCGGGGCUCAACCCCGGGACUGCAUUUGGAACUGUAUAGCUAGAGUGUCGGAGAGGCAGGCGGAAUUCCUAGUGUAGCGGUGAAAUGCGUAGAUAUCAGGAGGAACACCGGCGGCGAAGGCGGCCUGCUGGACCGUGACUGACGUUGAGGCUCGAGAGCGUGGGGAGCAAACGGGAUUAGAUACCCCAGUA
This 446-nucleotide ribosomal RNA is filed under the name uncultured bacterium. RNAcentral's name for it is "bacterial SSU rRNA". It matches the Rfam family "Bacterial small subunit ribosomal RNA", at positions 329 to 792 of the family's 1533-position model. The record is from RNAcentral.